Molecule: long non-coding RNA, 454 nt
Filed under: Homo sapiens (human)
Lineage: Eukaryota; Metazoa; Chordata; Mammalia; Primates; Hominidae
Description: non-protein coding lnc-BPY2B-7:1
Source: RNAcentral
UUUCACCUGCAGUUGAAGAUCCAUGAGGUGCCCAGAAGAUCAUGCAGUCAUCAGUCCCAUGGAGCAGCCCACAAGGCUGAGGCUCCUCCCACUGGACCACCCCCCAACUGGCACCACUGCUGCCCCUGCCCCUACUCUCAGCCUCAUGUGACUCUCAGGCAGAGGCAGUGGUGGGGCAGCCAGGGCAGCGUCAAGAGUCUGAGCCAGCUGCAGGACAAGUUCGAGCAUCUUAAAAUGAUUCAGCAGGAGGAGAUAAGGAAGCUCGAGGAAGAGAAAAAACAACUGGAAGGAGAAAUCAUAGAUUUUUAUAAAAUGAAAGCUGCCUCUGAAGCACUGCAGACUCAGCUGAGCACUGAUACAAAGAAAGACAAACAUCCUGAUCCAUAUGAAUUCCUCUUAUUAAGAAAAAUAAAGCAUCCAGGAUUCAAUGAAGAACUGACUAUCACCUUGUUAA